Molecule: ribosomal RNA, 497 nt
Filed under: uncultured bacterium
Lineage: Bacteria
Description: partial 16S ribosomal RNA
Rfam family: Bacterial small subunit ribosomal RNA
Source: RNAcentral
AUUGAACGCUGGCGGCAUGCCUACACAUGCAAGUCGAGCGGUAGCAGGUCUUCGGAUGCUGACGAGUGGCGAACGGGUGAGUAAUACAUCGGAACGUGCCUAGUAGUGGGGGAUAACUACUCGAAAGAGUGGCUAAUACCGCAUGAGAUCUACGGAUGAAAGCAGGGGAUCGCAAGACCUUGUGCUACUAGAGCGGCCGAUGGCAGAUUAGGUAGUUGGUGGGAUAAAAGCUUACCAAGCCGACGAUCUGUAGCUGGUCUGAGAGGACGAUCAGCCACACUGGGACUUAGACACGGCCCAGACUCCUACGGGAGGCAGCAGUGGGGAAUUUUGGACAAUGGGCGCAAGCCUGAUCCAGCAAUGCCGCGUGCAGGAUGAAGGCCUUCGGGUUGUAAACUGCUUUUGUACGGAACGAAAAGCCCUGGGUUAAUACCCUGGGGUCAUGACGGUACCGUAAGAAUAAGCACCGGUUAACUACGUGCCAGCCGCCGCGGUAA